UGCCUACGGGAGGCUGCAGUGGGGAAUAUUGCACAAUGGGGGAAACCCUGAUGCAGCGACGCCGCGUGAGCGAUGAAGCCCUUCGGGGUGUAAAGCUCUUUCGGCAGGGAAGAUGAUGACGGUACCUGCAGAAGCAGCUGCGGCUAACUACGUGCCAGCAGCCGCGGUAAUACGUAGGCAGCAAGCGUUGUUCGGAGUUACUGGGCGUAAAGGGUGUGUAGGCGGUUCCUUAAGUUUGUUGUGAAAUCUCCCGGCUCAACUGGGAGGGUGCGGCGAAUACUGAGGGGCUAGAGUGCGGGAGAGGAAAGUGGAAUUCCUGGUGUAGCGGUGAAAUGCGUAGAUAUCAGGAGGAACACCGGUGGUGUAGACGGCUUUCUGGACCGCAACUGACGCUGAGACACGAAAGCGUGGGUAGCAAACAGGAUUAGAUACCCGUGUAGUC
This 442-nucleotide ribosomal RNA is filed under the name uncultured Candidatus Solibacter sp. RNAcentral's name for it is "bacterial SSU rRNA". It matches the Rfam family "Bacterial small subunit ribosomal RNA", at positions 335 to 795 of the family's 1533-position model. Lineage: Bacteria; Pseudomonadati; Acidobacteriota; Terriglobia; Bryobacterales; Solibacteraceae. The record is from RNAcentral.